This 497-nucleotide ribosomal RNA is filed under the name uncultured bacterium. RNAcentral's name for it is "partial 16S ribosomal RNA". It matches the Rfam family "Bacterial small subunit ribosomal RNA", at positions 28 to 523 of the family's 1533-position model. The record is from RNAcentral.
GACGAACGCUGGCGGCGUGCUUAACACAUGCAAGUCUACGAGAAAGAGGUAGCAAUAUCUUGAUUAAAGUGGCGCACGGGUGAGUAACACGUAAGCAAUCUACCCUUAGAUCUGGAAUAACUUCGAGAAAUCGAGGCUAAUACCGGAUAAUGAAGCUGCACCGCAUGGUGACGUUGUUAAAAUUUCGAUGUCUAAGGAUGAGCUUGCGUCUGAUUAGCUAGUUAGUGAGGUAACGGCCCACCAAGGCUGCGAUCAGUAGCUGGUCUGAGAGGAUGAUCAGCCACACUGGAACUGAGACACGGUCCAGACUCCUACGGGAGGCAGCAGUGAGGAAUAUUGGGCAAUGCCCGCAAGGGUGACCCAGCAACGCCGCGUGGAGGAUGAAUGCCGUAGGUUGUAAACUCCUGUUAGAGGGGAAGAAUAAUUCCGAUUGCAUCGGAACUUGACUGUACCCUCAGAGAAAGCCCCGGCUAACUACGUGCCAGCCGCCGCUGUAA